Long non-coding RNA from Lepus europaeus (European hare), 370 nucleotides. RefSeq lists it as uncharacterized. Lineage: Eukaryota; Metazoa; Chordata; Mammalia; Lagomorpha; Leporidae. The transcript has 3 exons. The record is from RefSeq and is a predicted model, not a curated record.
UUGUGUACCUACUGCCUGUAAGAAGUCUACAGAAGUACAAUUCUCAGCAAGAUAAUGCCUGGCACUUUGAGAUGAUGACUUGCACCUACAGAAUUAACAAAACUAAGUUUAACAAUGGACUCCAGUUUACAGAUCGGGAACUCUUCGUGUAACAAGACAGCUUCACAGGACAGGACAAUCAAGGGUUGGAUAUGAAGUAGUAACUCUCCCAGAAACUUGAGACUCAAUAGCACUGCCACAAGAGAGAGGCAUGCUAGUGUGUCAUUGUGGAAUGAGGAAGCACCUGCAAGAUAAAGCUGUGCAAAGAUAAACUGGGCCAGAAUCCAUCAUGGUUCACUUCACAUGCAGCUGUCCAUAUUCUUUGAUCCCC